This 253-nucleotide ribosomal RNA is filed under the name uncultured bacterium. RNAcentral describes it as "partial 16S ribosomal RNA". It matches the Rfam family "Bacterial small subunit ribosomal RNA", at positions 524 to 776 of the family's 1533-position model. The record is from RNAcentral.
UACGUAGGGGGCGAGCGUUAUCCGGAUUUAUUGGGCGUAAAGCGCGCGCAGGCGGUCUUUUAAGUCAGGUGUGAAAGGCUGCGGCUCAACCGCAGAGCGGCACCUGAAACUGGAAGGCUUGAGUGCAGGAGAGGAGAGCGGAAUUCCCGGUGUAGCGGUGGAAUGCGUAGAGAUCGGGAGGAACACCAGUGGCGAAGGCGGCUCUCUGGCCUGUUACUGACGCUGAGGCGCGAAAGCGUGGGGAGCAAACAGG